CGUGCAGGUGGUUCGGUAAGUUGGAUGUGAAAGCUCCUGGCUUAACUGGGAGAGGUCGUUCAAUACUACCGGGCUUGAGUGUGGAAGAGGGAAGUGGAAUUCCGGGUGUAGUGGUGAAAUGCGUAGAUAUCCGGAGGAACACCAGUGGCGAAAGCGGCUUCCUGGUCCAUUACUGACACUCAGAUGCGAAAGCUAGGGGAGCGAACGGGAUUAGAGACCCCGGUAGUCCUAGCUGUAAACGAUGCGAACUUGGCGUCGGUGGGUUCAAAUCCAUCGGUGCCGAAGCUAACGCGAUAAGUUCGCCGCCUGGGGACUACGGCCGCAAGGUUAAA
Molecule: ribosomal RNA, 332 nt
Filed under: uncultured bacterium
Lineage: Bacteria
Description: bacterial SSU rRNA
Rfam family: Bacterial small subunit ribosomal RNA
Source: RNAcentral